RNAcentral lists this small RNA (93 nucleotides) under Marichromatium purpuratum. Its description in RNAcentral is "Manganese sequence". The stretch from base 12 to 93 matches the Rfam family "Manganese Mn2+ riboswitch aptamer (yybP-ykoY)". From Rfam's summary of the family: This RNA was originally discovered in E. coli during a large scale screen and was named SraF. The family was later found to exist upstream of related families of protein genes in many bacteria, including the the yybP and ykoK genes in B. subtilis. The record is from RNAcentral. Lineage: Bacteria; Pseudomonadati; Pseudomonadota; Gammaproteobacteria; Chromatiales; Chromatiaceae.
GCCCCACUCCGAGGGGAGUAGUCUCCCGCGCAGCGCGCGGGGCAUCCGUCAACAGACUUGGCGAUCGCCAUGGCGGAUGCGGCCCGACGGGCU